GAUGAACGCUAGCGGCAGGCUUAAUACAUGCAAGUCGUGGGGCAGCGCGGGUAGCAAUACCUGGCGGCGACCGGCAAACGGGUGCGGAACACGUACGCAACCUUCCUUUAACUGGAGAAUAGCCCCGAGAAAUCGGGAUUAAUACUCCGUAACAUAAUGAUGAGGCAUCUCUUUAUUAUUAUAGCUCCGGCGGUUAAAGAUGGGCGUGCGACUGAUUAGAUAGUUGGCGGGGAACGGCCCACCAAGUCUGCGAUCAGUAACUGGUGUGAGAGCACGACCAGUCACACGGGCGACUGAGACACGGGCCCGGACUCCUACGGGAGGCAGCAGUAAGGAAUAUUGGUC
Molecule: ribosomal RNA, 345 nt
Filed under: uncultured bacterium
Lineage: Bacteria
Description: bacterial SSU rRNA
Rfam family: Bacterial small subunit ribosomal RNA
Source: RNAcentral